This 243-nucleotide long non-coding RNA is filed under the name Cicer arietinum (chickpea). RNAcentral's name for it is "long non-coding RNA (CARI_LNC002977)". The record is from RNAcentral. Lineage: Eukaryota; Viridiplantae; Streptophyta; Magnoliopsida; Fabales; Fabaceae.
UUUUCGCUUCUUUUUGUUCGUUGCCUAGCCAUUGAGUUGGUUCUGAACUGCCUAGCCGCCUCCCUUAAUGUGGCCGCAUCCUUCAUUUGAAAUUAGGGUUUCAGAUUCAUGCCUCAAUCUUCUUUUGUUAUGAUGGGUUUGGGCUCUUUUCAAAAUUUUGUUUUUAAGUUAAGUUGGGCCCAAACACAAAAAAACAAAGAUCUUGUUCAAACUCAGUCCAUUUAAAUCCAUUCUUUUUAUUUU